GCUGGGUGUGGUGGUGUGUGCCUAUAAUCCCAGCUACUUGGGAGGCUGAGGCAGGAGAAUCACUUGAACCCAGGAGGCAGAGGUUGCAGUGAGCCAAGGUUGUGCCAUUGCACUCCAGCCUGGGUGACAGAGUGAGAUCCUGUCUCAA
This 148-nucleotide non-coding RNA is filed under the name Nomascus leucogenys (northern white-cheeked gibbon). Lineage: Eukaryota; Metazoa; Chordata; Mammalia; Primates; Hylobatidae. The record is from Rfam by way of RNAcentral.